AGCAGCCGCGGUAAUUCCAGCUCCAAUAGCGUAUAUUAAAGUUGUUGCAGUUAAAAAGCUCGUAGUUGAAUUUCGAGAUCAAAUUGUUGGUCGUGCCUCGGUACGUACUGGCAUUAUUGAUUUCUCCUUUCUGAAGAACCUUGAUGUCAUUAAUUUGGUGUCUUGGGGAAUCAGGACCGUUACUUUGAAAAAUUAGAGUGUUUAAAGCAGGCUCACGCUUGAAUACAUUAGCAUGGAAUAAUAAAAUAGGACGUUUGAUUCUAUUUUGUUGGUUUCUAGGAUCGACGUAAUGAUUAAUAGGGAUAGUUGGGGGCAUUAGUAUUCAAUUGUCAGAGGUGAAAUUCUUGGAUUUAUUGAAGACUAACUACUGCGAAAGCAUUUGCCAAGGAUGUUUUCAUUAAUCAAGAACGAAAGUUAGGGGAUCGAAGACGAUCAGAUACCGUCGUAGUC
This 450-nucleotide ribosomal RNA is filed under the name uncultured Glomus. RNAcentral describes it as "SSU rRNA". It matches the Rfam family "Eukaryotic small subunit ribosomal RNA", at positions 569 to 1025 of the family's 1831-position model. Lineage: Eukaryota; Fungi; Glomeromycota; Glomeromycetes; Glomerales; Glomeraceae. The record is from RNAcentral.